GGGUUGUGAGGUUAAGCGACUAAGCGUACACGGUGGAUGCCCUGGCAGUCAGAGGCGAUGAAGGACGUGCUAAUCUGCGAAAAGCGUCGGUAAGGUGAUAUGAACCGUUACAGCCGGCGAUGUCCGAAUGGGGAAACCCAGUGCAAUUCGUUGCACUAUCGUUAACUGAAUACAUAGGUUAACGAGGCGAACCGGGGGAACUGAAACAUCUAAGUACCCCGAGGAAAAGAAAUCAACCGAGAUUCCCCCAGUAGCGGCGAGCGAACGGGGAGCAGCCCAGAGUCUGAAUCAGCUUGUGUGUUAGUGGAACGGUCUGGAAAGUCCGACGGUACAGGGUGAUAGUCCCGUACACCAAAAUGCACAGGUUGUGAACUCGAAGAGUAGGGCGGGACACGUGGUAUCCUGUCUGAAUAUGGGGGGACCAUCCUCCAAGGCUAAAUACUCCUGACUGACCGAUAGUGAACCAGUACCGUGAGGGAAAGGCGAAAAGAACCCCGGCGAGGGGAGUGAAAAAGAACCUGAAACCGUGUACGUACAAGCAGUGGGAGCACCUUCGGGUGUGACUGCGUACCUUUUGUAUAAUGGGUCAGCGACUUAUAUUCUGUAGCAAGGUUAACCGUAUAGGGGAGCCGCAGGGAAACCGAGUCUUAACUGGGCGUUAAGUUGCAGGGUAUAGACCCGAAACCCGGUGAUCUAGCCAUGGGCAGGUUGAAGGUUGGGUAACACUAACUGGAGGACCGAACCGACUAAUGUUGAAAAAUUAGCGGAUGACUUGUGGCUGGGGGUGAAAGGCCAAUCAAACCGGGAGAUAGCUGGUUCUCCCCGAAAGCUAUUUAGGUAGCGCCUCGUGAAUUCAUCUUCGGGGGUAGAGCACUGUUUCGGCUAGGGGGUCAUCCCGACUUACCAACCCGAUGCAAACUACGAAUACCGAAGAAUGUUAUCACGGGAGACACACGGCGGGUGCUAACGUCCGUCGUGAAGAGGGAAACAACCCAGACCGCCAGCUAAGGUCCCAAAGUCAUGGUUAAGUGGGAAACGAUGUGGGAAGGCACAGACAGCCAGGAUGUUGGCUUAGAAGCAGCCAUCAUUUAAAGAAAGCGUAAUAGCUCACUGGUCGAGUCGGCCUGCGCGGAAGAUGUAACGGGGCUAAACCAUGCACCGAAGCUGCGGCAGCGACACUAUGUGUUGUUGGGUAGGGGAGCGUUCUGUAAGCCUGCGAAGGUGACCUGUGAGGGUUGCUGGAGGUAUCAGAAGUGCGAAUGCUGACAUAAGUAACGAUAAAGCGGGUGAAAAGCCCGCUCGCCGGAAGACCAAGGGUUCCUGUCCAACGUUAAUCGGGGCAGGGUGAGUCGACCCCUAAGGCGAGGCCGAAAGGCGUAGUCGAUGGGAAACAGGUUAAUAUUCCUGUACUUGGUGUUACUGCGAAGGGGGGACGGAGAAGGCUAUGUUAGCCGGGCGACGGUUGUCCCGGUUUAAGCAUGUAGGCUGAUUGUCCAGGCAAAUCCGGAUAAUCAAGGCUGAGGUGUGAUGACGAGGCACUACGGUGCUGAAGUAACAAAUGCCCUGCUUCCAGGAAAAGCCUCUAAGCAUCAGGUAACAUCAAAUCGUACCCCAAACCGACACAGGUGGUCAGGUAGAGAAUACCAAGGCGCUUGAGAGAACUCGGGUGAAGGAACUAGGCAAAAUGGUGCCGUAACUUCGGGAGAAGGCACGCUGGUGUGUAGGUGAAGCCCCUGCGGGUGGAGCUGAGACCAGUCGAAGAUACCAGCUGGCUGCAACUGUUUAUUAAAAACACAGCACUGUGCAAACACGAAAGUGGACGUAUACGGUGUGACGCCUGCCCGGUGCCGGAAGGUUAAUUGAUGGGGUUAUCCGUAAGGAGAAGCUCUUGAUCGAAGCCCCGGUAAACGGCGGCCGUAACUAUAACGGUCCUAAGGUAGCGAAAUUCCUUGUCGGGUAAGUUCCGACCUGCACGAAUGGCGUAAUGAUGGCCAGGCUGUCUCCACCCGAGACUCAGUGAAAUUGAACUCGCUGUGAAGAUGCAGUGUACCCGCGGCAAGACGGAAAGACCCCGUGAACCUUUACUAUAGCUUGACACUGAACAUUGAGCCUUGAUGUGUAGGAUAGGUGGGAGGCUUUGAAGCGUGGACGCCAGUCUGCGUGGAGCCAACCUUGAAAUACCACCCUUUAAUGUUUGAUGUUCUAACGUUGGCCCCUUACCGGGGUUGCGGACAGUGUCUGGUGGGUAGUUUGACUGGGGCGGUCUCCUCCCAAAGCGUAACGGAGGAGCACGAAGGUUAGCUAAUCCUGGUCGGACAUCAGGAGGUUAGUGCAAUGGCAUAAGCUAGCUUGACUGCGAGCGUGACGGCGCGAGCAGGUGCGAAAGCAGGUCAUAGUGAUCCGGUGGUUCUGAAUGGAAGGGCCAUCGCUCAACGGAUAAAAGGUACUCCGGGGAUAACAGGCUGAUACCGCCCAAGAGUUCAUAUCGACGGCGGUGUUUGGCACCUCGAUGUCGGCUCAUCACAUCCUGGGGCUGAAGUAGGUCCCAAGGGUAUGGCUGUUCGCCAUUUAAAGUGGUACGCGAGCUGGGUUUAGAACGUCGUGAGACAGUUCGGUCCCUAUCUGCCGUGGGCGCUGGAGAAUUGAGGGGGGCUGCUCCUAGUACGAGAGGACCGGAGUGGACGCAUCACUGGUGUUCGGGUUGUCAUGCCAAUGGCACUGCCCGGUAGCUAAAUGCGGAAGAGAUAAGUGCUGAAAGCAUCUAAGCACGAAACUUGCCCCGAGAUGAGUUCUCCCUGAGACUUUAAGUCUCCUGAAGGAACGUUAAAGACGAUGACGUUGAUAGGCCGGGUGUGUAAGCGCAGCGAUGCGUUGAGCUAACCGGUACUAAUGAACCGUGAGGCUUAACCUUACAACGCCGAAG
RNAcentral lists this ribosomal RNA (2923 nucleotides) under Klebsiella pneumoniae. Its description in RNAcentral is "23S ribosomal RNA". It matches the Rfam family "Bacterial large subunit ribosomal RNA". The record is from RNAcentral. Lineage: Bacteria; Pseudomonadati; Pseudomonadota; Gammaproteobacteria; Enterobacterales; Enterobacteriaceae.